AACAAAUCGCUUUCAUUGCAAUUUGUUGUUCUGCUUUUGCAGUCUUGUGGUGAGAUGUGCACCUCACACAUUGACUGUCAGAAUGUGCCACGCCAUCAUGUGCCGCAGUUUUGCAUGCAGGAAACACUUGUGUGCGAGGCAGGCUUUCCUUUUCAUGUUAUUUGAGAGGCAACCGAGCAGAGCUGAGCCCUUUCCUGUGUGUUAUUUUUGCCUAACAAUACAGCCUGGGGGCAGUCAGUUGGUCUUUUC
This 249-nucleotide long non-coding RNA is filed under the name Dermacentor andersoni. RNAcentral's name for it is "uncharacterized LOC126531275". Lineage: Eukaryota; Metazoa; Arthropoda; Arachnida; Ixodida; Ixodidae. The record is from RNAcentral.